Molecule: non-coding RNA, 1902 nt
Organism: Microcebus murinus (gray mouse lemur)
Lineage: Eukaryota; Metazoa; Chordata; Mammalia; Primates; Cheirogaleidae
Source: RefSeq, a predicted model, not a curated record
GAAGGCGGGAGGGGGUUACCUGCGUGAGCAAGGGCGUCUGGAGGCCCAGAAUGGGGGAUGAGGCCCAUGGGGUGACACAGGGUUUUCAGGAUAGAUGGGUGAACCAAACAGGAACCCUGCCUUUCUCAGUGCCGUGUGUGUGCGUGUGUGUGCGUGUGUGUGUGUGCGCGUGCCUCUUCUGAACUCGCCUAGCAGGGCUGGGAUUUGGAAAAGGCUACUCCAAGUGGAGCCAGGAUGGUGUGUCUUCAGAGGCUGGAGCUGCCCUUUGCUGGGCCAGUUUCGCAGCACUGACUCAGCAAUUCCCAGGGACCCCUGGGGCAGGGACACUCUCCUCUCUGCGAGAAGGUCAACCACCAGGCACCAACCGGGAGCCGCAGGAGGCUGCUGUCACUCCUUGGCGGGUCAAGGUUGCAGGGAGGCCCAGGGCCUCCUAGCCCACCGCGUGGGGCCCUGGAGCCAGGAAGUCCCUGGAGAGGCGAAGGGAAGAGGACUGGAGGCAGGAGUCAGCCGCUCCCGCCCCCCAGCCUCCCCCCAGCCUGUGCUCAUCGCCUCCAGGGGACCACGCGGCAGGAAUGGGGGAGAAGACCUGGCUCGGCCCCAGGUGUGCUUGUCCGUUCCUUCAUCCUUUCAGUCAAGAAACGAUCGAGCCCCUGUGCCAGGUGCUGGGGUCCCCAGCGUAAGACAUGACCUCUUUGCCUUCAGCGUGCUCACCUCGAAAGGAGGAAGAUCAAGACGCUGGACCGAAUGUUCCCAACGGCCCCUUUUGUCCUGACUCAGCUGCGGUCUGGAGGAAGUGCUCGCAGGAGGACCGCGUUGAGGGCUGUUUGCACCAGGUCUAGUCCUGAAGGGUGGACUAACACCGUCAGUGAGGGCAGGUUUCCUGGAGACACUGUGUCCGUUCCCCAACUCUACUUGCACCCCCACACCCGACUUCAAGCCAGGCAGUUCUCCGGACCCAUUGCAGCCUACCUGGAAGUGCCUGGCAUGUAUUUGUCAUACUCACCUCCGGACUCAGCCCCUACCUGUCCCUCGUCCCUGCUACACCUCCCCCUCCCCCGCCCUCUCUGUGGGUUCAAAAGCCCUAGCAUGCCACCCCCCUUCCAUUCACGGGGCUGCUGCUAUUUCUGCCUCUUUGACAAGUUGUGACAUAUUUGGGAGCAGCUGCUGCCUGGGUGGAGAUGCCUUUGCUGCCCUCCCUCUCUGUUCUCUCCUCCCCAACCCCUUUCCCAGCAGCCACCCCUUCCCAGAAUGUGCCCCAAGACCCUCCCUGCAUUCCCUUCCUGGGCUCAGACACCCGCUUUCCCUAGGUUUCUGCAGGGUGGCCGAGGCUCGAGUCUGGUAGCCAUGGCUGGGGGUGGGAUCUCUUCUGCCACAUCCCAACCUGUGUGGUUUGACGCAAGUCUCUUCCUCCUGUGGGUUUCGGUUUUCAAUCUUUAAAAUGGGGGUGAUAGAUAACGUCUCCCCGACCAACCAUGAGUGACUGACCUCCUAAUAACUGUAGAGACCUGGGGGCUCUUCCAGUGCUAUUUAUAUCAUGACUCUGACAUCCUCUGGGGACUUUAUUCCAUUGUCCCUGCCCACUGACGUUUUCUAUGAGCCCAUAGACGCGUUGAAGUCUCUCCCAUCAAAAAAAUCCCUCCCUUUUUUAUAUAACCCCCUCAGCUAUGGCUCUGUCGCUAACCUUCCCUUCUUCACCUAAUUUCUAGAAGGAGGAGUUUACACUUACUCUUUCCACUUCCUUACUUCCCCUUCACUUGUCCACUUCAUUGUUUUCACUGUCCCUGGGUCACUAAAACUGGUCCUUCCACGAUCACCAGAGACCCCUCCCCUGGUGCCAACUCCAGGAGAUAUUUCUCAGUUUUAAUCUUACUUGACUGGUCUGUGUCAUCUGGCAAUGUUGAC